UUGGAGGGCAAGUCUGGUGCCAGCAGCCGCGGUAAUUCCAGCUCCAAUAGCGUAUAUUAAAGUUGUUGCAGUUAAAAAGCUCGUAGUUGAAUUUCGGGGUUAGUAGGUUGGUCGUGCCUCAGGUAUGUACUGAUCUCACUGAUUCCUCCUUCCUGAUGAACCGUAAUGCCAUUAAUUUGGUGUUGCGGGGAAACUGGACUGUUACUUUGAAAAAAUUAGAGUGUUUAAAGCAGGCUAACGCUUGAAUACAUUAGCAUGGAAUAAUGAAAUAGGACGUUCGAUCCUACUUUGUUGGUUUCUAGGAUUGACGUAAUGAUUAAUAGGGAUAGUUGGGGGCAUUAGUAUUCAAUUGUCAGAGGUGAAAUUCUUGGAUUUAUUGAAGACUAACUACUGCGAAAGCAUUUGCCAAGGAUGUUUUCAUUAAUCAAGAACGAAAGUUAGGGGAUCGAAGACGAUCAGAUACCGUCGUAGUCUUAACCAUAAACUAUGCCGACUAGGGAUCGGAUGAUGUUAAUUUUUUAAUGACUCAUUCGGCGCCUUACGGGAAA
RNAcentral lists this ribosomal RNA (548 nucleotides) under uncultured Glomeromycotina. RNAcentral's name for it is "SSU rRNA". It matches the Rfam family "Eukaryotic small subunit ribosomal RNA", at positions 548 to 1097 of the family's 1831-position model. The record is from RNAcentral. Lineage: Eukaryota; Fungi; Glomeromycota.